UGUUUUUUUUUUUUAUAUUUUUAAAGAAAUUUUAAGUAGGUGAUAUGGCUUGUCUUAUUAGUUCUUUUAGUAUUUCAAAAUGCUUUAUGAUGAGAGACUGUCAAACAUGGACAAUAGGUCAGGUAAUAUCUUCACCUGACUUGGCAUUCCCCUCUAAUUAAACCAUGAAAGUUUAGCAUCACAUCUGUAGUGGAACAUAGGACAACUUAUUUAAUUUUAUCCUGAGUAAAUGAAUGAAUUUGUCAAGAAAGAAAGGAGACUGGUCAUGUCACUUGAUUUUAUAACAAUUUUUCACAUUUUUCUUUUCCUAAGAAAUGAAGAUAUAAAUAAACACAUUUUCUUAAAAAGAGAAAGACCAAGCCAGGUGUAGUGGUGCUUGUGUGUAAUCCCAGUGGCUCAGGAGGCUGAAGCUGAGGCAGGAGGAUCUCGAGUUCAAAGCCAGCCUUAGCAACUUAGCAAGGUCCUAAGUAACUCAGUGAGAGUUUGUCUCUAAAUAAAAUAUAAAAAAGGAGCUGGGGAUGUGGCUUAAUGUUUAAGUGCCCCAGGGUUCAAUCCUCAGUACCAAUAAAUAAAUAAAUUAAAUAAACAAACAAAUAAAUAAAAGCAAAAGCCUACAAACAUUAUUUAGCUGUCUUUCCCAUAUUGUAACAUUUCUUCAACAUGGCACAAUGUAGAAGAAUAAUUUUACUCACGUAUGUGUGAAAGGAAGUUUAAAAUACUGCUAAGUACAUAGACUCAGGAACCAGAAGUCUUGGGUUCAAAUCCUAAUUCCUACUUGAUAGCUGUUUCCCUUUGGAAAGUGUUUCCUUUCUAUGUGACUGAAUCACAUUUGGAAAGUAGAAAUUCCAUUGUUUAAAAUUGUGAAGUCCAAUUAUUGUGAAAUUAAUAACACAGCUUUAUUUUUCAGAUGGUCUGACAAAAAGGGGCCAGAAAUACAAAAAGGAAGAUCAGAAGGACUGGAGCAAUUAUAAAAUAAGAUGUAGCAGUGCUACUCAGAUAUCAGAAGCUGCAUAUCCCUUGAAUCAACUUACUACUGUGAUAUCAACAGCACUGUUAGAAUCGGGCCUGGACUUGCUGAGGGGGUGUCAUUUAGUCAACGAGUGCUGCCUCUGUCCCAGCUCCUCCAUUCCCGUAUCAAUUCACACAUUGGGAGUUAGGAACCUUUCUCUUUUAGCCUUCUCAAUCCCUUCAGUACCUAAUAGGAAGCUACUUGUCAAAAGACCCUGAAAAUGUAGUUUGAUGUCUUCCAGCUCCAGAUGUUCAGAAGAGUAUAUAGCAGGGUAGAUAGACUGAAAAGCCACAGAUAAAUAACCUGUGCAAAGACUUCGUACAUAUGCACAGAAUCUGUAUUUUUUUGUAAUCUGCAGCUAUCUCUAGGAAGAAGAACUUGGGCUGGUGUACAGCAGUGGGGGGAUAUAUUUUUUAUUCUUUGCCAUUUGGGGUUUGUUUUUAAGGUAUUUAGAUCACAGAAUUGUACUCAUUUCACAGCACACAUUUUGGCUCAUGCAAAUUAUGCCCCUUUCUUUCUUCCAUCGUUACCCAUGCCAUGGGUGUCUUGCUCCCAUAUUUUAUCUGCACUGAAAUUCUUAAAAGAUAUAUAAUAAGUUAUAUUUAAUGCUGUUAUACUAAAACUUUUUUUUUUCACUUAACAUUAGUGUUUGAGAUGGAUCAAUAAUACUGUUUAUAAAUUUGGGUCAGUGUAUUUUGCUGCCUGGUAUUCUGCCAUAUGCAUAUAACUACAUUUUCUCUAUUUUCCUAUUGUUGGUAUCUAAGUUGCGUGUACCUGUCUUGCAUGUAAGCUGCAACAAACAGUCUAAUCCCUGUUUUUUUGUGGAUCUGUCCAGAGUCUUUGGAAUGUAUAUACCCACUAUGGUAGACAGCCUCUGAAACAGCUCUCAGGGUUCCCAUUUCCUAAUAUUCAUGCUCUUGUUUAAUUUUUCUUUUAUUUUAGGCUAGAUCUAGUGAUUCUUCUCUAACAAAUUGAAUGUGGCAAACGUGGUGAUAUGUUACUUACAAAAUUAGUUUACAGGAACAUUAUGACUUCUGUCUUGCUUUCUAUUUCUCAUUCUCUUUUUUGAGAGCCCUUACUCUAGAGGAAACAAGCUGCCCUGUUGUGAACUGCCCUAUGAAGGGAUCCAUGUGGCAAGUAACUGAUAUCUGUAGCUGAUAUUCAGCAAGGCCCUAAGACUUGCCAGCAGCCAAGUAAGCAAGCUUGGAAAUGGAUCUUCUGAGGACUUUGAAAAGGUUCACUGACCCUUGAGAUGACUACAGCCCCAGCUGACCCUCGAUUGCAGUCUUCUGAUGCACAGAUAGUAAGGGUGAAGAGGAAAAGCCCCAAAUCCUUUUAAUAAUUUUAAUUAAAAUGGCCACCAGAUGGCACCAAUGCCUGAAGUGGCAUCUUCCCUGUGUUACUGGAGCAAUGAGAGGCGCAGCCCAGUAUUAGGCUUUCCCUCCUUGGAAAACAUAUGUCUAGAACCUGCUGUUCACUUGCAGCUGUAACUGGUAAGAUUUUACUAUUGAAUGUAUAUAUAUAUCUCCUCACCCCCAGUACUGAGGUUAGAACCCAGGGUCCUCUACUACUAAGCUAC
This is a long non-coding RNA of Marmota monax (woodchuck), 2588 nucleotides long. RefSeq lists it as uncharacterized. NCBI's taxonomy places the organism in Eukaryota, Metazoa, Chordata, Mammalia, Rodentia, Sciuridae. The record is from RefSeq and is a predicted model, not a curated record. The transcript has 3 exons.